This 492-nucleotide ribosomal RNA is filed under the name uncultured bacterium. RNAcentral describes it as "partial 16S ribosomal RNA". It matches the Rfam family "Bacterial small subunit ribosomal RNA", at positions 29 to 507 of the family's 1533-position model. The record is from RNAcentral.
AGUGAACGCUGGCGGUAGGCCUAACACAUGCAAGUCGAACGGCAGCACAGUAAGAGCUUGCUCUUACGGGUGGCGAGUGGCGGACGGGUGAGGAAUACAUCGGAAUCUACUUUUUCGUGGGGGAUAACGCAGGGAAACUUACGCUAAUACCGCAUACGACCUACGGGUGAAAGCAGGGGAUCUUCGGACCCUGCGCGAUUGAAUGAGCCGAUGUCGGAUUAGCUAGUUGGCGGGGUAAAGGCCCACCAAGGCGACGAUCCGUAGCUGGUCUGAGAGGAUGAUCAGCCACACUGGAACUGAGACACGGUCCAGACUCCUACGGGAGGCAGCAGUGGGGAAUAUUGGACAAUGGGCGCAAGCCUGAUCCAGCCAUACCGCGUGGGUGAAGAAGGCCUUCGGGUUGUAAAGCCCUUUUGUUGGGAAAGAAAAGCAGCAGGUUAAUACCCCGCUGUUCUGACGGUACCCAAAGAAUAAGCACCGGCUAACUUCGUG